RNAcentral lists this ribosomal RNA (749 nucleotides) under Vreelandella aquamarina. RNAcentral's name for it is "bacterial SSU rRNA". It matches the Rfam family "Bacterial small subunit ribosomal RNA", at positions 39 to 785 of the family's 1533-position model. The record is from RNAcentral. Lineage: Bacteria; Pseudomonadati; Pseudomonadota; Gammaproteobacteria; Oceanospirillales; Halomonadaceae.
GUGUUGAGCAGCUACCAUGCAAGUCGAGCGGUAACAGAUCCAGCUUGCUGGAUGCUGACGAGCGGCGGACGGGUGAGUAAUGCAUAGGAAUCUGCCCGAUAGUGGGGGAUAACCUGGGGAAACCCAGGCUAAUACCGCAUACGUCCUACGGGAGAAAGGGGGCUUCGGCUCCCGCUAUCGGAUGAGCCUAUGUCGGAUUAGCUAGUUGGUGAGGUAACGGCUCACCAAGGCCACGAUCCGUAGCUGGUCUGAGAGGAUGAUCAGCCACAUCGGGACUGAGACACGGCCCGAACUCCUACGGGAGGCAGCAGUGGGGAAUAUUGGACAAUGGGGGGAACCCUGAUCCAGCCAUGCCGCGUGUGUGAAGAAGGCCCUCGGGUUGUAAAGCACUUUCAGCGAGGAAGAACGCCUAGCGGUUAAUACCCGCUAGGAAAGACAUCACUCGCAGAAGAAGCACCGGCUAACUCCGUGCCAGCAGCCGCGGUAAUACGGAGGGUGCAAGCGUUAAUCGGAAUUACUGGGCGUAAAGCGCGCGUAGGUGGCUUGAUAAGCCGGUUGUGAAAGCCCCGGGCUCAACCUGGGAACGGCAUCCGGAACUGUCAAGCUAGAGUGCAGGAGAGGAAGGUAGAAUUCCCGGUGUAGCGGUGAAAUGCGUAGAGAUCGGGAGGAAUACCAGUGGCGAAGGCGGCCUUCUGGACUGACACUGACACUGAGGUGCGAAAGCGUGGGUAGCAAACAGGAUUAGACCC